RNAcentral lists this ribosomal RNA (502 nucleotides) under uncultured Lachnospiraceae bacterium. RNAcentral's name for it is "partial 16S ribosomal RNA". Lineage: Bacteria; Bacillati; Bacillota; Clostridia; Lachnospirales; Lachnospiraceae. The record is from RNAcentral.
CACGUAGUUAGCCGGGGCUUCUUAGUCAGGUACUGUCAUUUUCUUCCCUGCUGAUAGAGCUUUACAUACCGAAAUACUUCUUCACUCACGCGGCGUUGCUGCAUCAGGGUUUUCCCCCCAUUGUGCAAAUACUUCCCCACUGCUGCCCUCCCGUAGGAGUUUGGGCCGUGUCUCAGUCCCAAUGUGGCCGGUCACCCUCUCAGGCCGGCUACUGAUCGUCGCCUUGGUGAGCCGUUACCUCACCAACCAGCUAAUCAGACGCGGGUCCAUCUUACACCGAUAGCUCUUUUCCGUCAGGGUCAUGCGACCCCAGCGGGGUUAUGCGGUAUUAGCAGUCAUUUCUAACUGUUAUCCCCCUGUGUAAGGCAGGUUACCCACGCGUUACUCACCCGUCCGCCGCUCAGUCAAAACCAUCUUCAUUCCGAAGAAAACUUCAAAUAGAGUGCUUCGCUCGACUUGCAUGUGUUAAGCACGCCGCCAGCGUCAUCUGAGCACGAGCAAU